GAACAUAAAACAAUAUACAAAUUUCACUGUAACAGUGGGGGUUUAAAGCAUAGCUAUUCUAUUUGCCUUUCCUGGAAUAUCAAGCCACAAUGCAUUAAGCAGCCCAGGGAAAGUUAUGUGGUUGCACUACACUAUAAGCUCACACUAUAUUUUGCCAGAUGUACAGCAGCCAGUUUUUGAACAAGUGUAUUUCACUGUGGGCUACAGCUGAUAAACUUACUAUUGGGAGAGGAACAUUCCUAGAGAUUCUGCCAAGCAAUAAAAAUCCCUCUUCACCCUCAGUGUUUGUGCUGAAGUCUGAUGAAACCAAUUCUCCUACAGCCUGUUUUGUGAAGGAUUUUUACCCUAAGAACGUUGAGAUCUACAUGAAUUCCUCUAAAAGCAGCUCUGGGCCAGCGAAAGUCUCCCCAGUUCUGACGCGGCAGGGAAAGUACAGUGCCAUCUUAGUGGCUAACCUGGGAACCAAGAAUGUGCAGUGUCAAGCAAAGCACCAGAACAUAUGGUUGACAACUCAGGAUAAUACUUUAGGAUCAAGAGAAAUUACUACUACAUCUGAAGGUGAAGAUAGGUCAGAAGAAAUGGAAUGUGACAAAUUUGAAAAACUGAAUAUGCUUUCCUUGACUGUCCUGGGAGCUAGAGUGCUAUUUUCUAAAGCUGUAGCCUUCAGUCUCAUAAUGACAGCCAAGUUAUUCAUGCUGUGAGAUGUCCCGAAGCCAAUGAACUGCAAAUGGAUUUUUCUUCAUCAAUGCAAUGGCAACCAUACUAUACACAUAUUGAAUAAUGAUCAAUUAUGAUAAUAGUUAUGAUCUGUCCUUUAAAAGUGACUGUAUGACAAAACAAAGAUUCGCCUAUCAUUUACUGUGUUAACUAUGCAUUAGAGCUCACCUCUAGGCAGCAGUUCUGAAUAACUCCAAUGCUCCCUUUCCCCCUCUAUACUAUCACCCAGUGCUUUUUUUUUCUUAUCUUGCCCCUGGAUUUAGUUAUUCUCUCUUCUUGGCCCCUAUGAUGUCAUCGCAGGGGCUGAAAAAAUCCUGCAGCCUCAGGAGCUUUCAGAAAGGUUUGGGUUAGCAGAUGGCUGGGAUUUCACCUGCUUAGCCAGUAAAUCAACUGCACAUUGUAAGGCUGAUAAGAAAAAAAUAUUGGCACAAUAUAAGAAAAUCACCCCAAACAGACAUAUCAUACACAUGUGACACAGAGGGGCUUGACAGGGUGGCUGGUACUGUACACGUGGUGGCUUCUUUUGGAUUUUUUUUUUAAGUUUUUUUUUUGUCACGUACGAAAAAGUAUACAUUGAACACAUGAAAGUUGAUAUAGUUAUACAUACGUUUCAAGUAUACCAGAACUAAUUACUCUGAGGACAGAAGUAAGAGCGGGAAUCAUCUACAUUUCUCAUAUUUUCUUGUUCGCAUUUGAUCGUAAAUGAAUAUAUAUAUAUAUAUAUAUAUAUAUAUAUAUAUAUA
Rana temporaria (common frog) is the source of this 1460-nucleotide non-coding RNA. Lineage: Eukaryota; Metazoa; Chordata; Amphibia; Anura; Ranidae. The record is from the annotation of a RefSeq genome assembly.